GCUAAUACCGGAUGUGCCCUUGGGUGAAAGGCUUGCUGCCUAGAGAUGAGCUCGCGUCUGAUUAGCUAGUAGGUGUGGUAAGAGCGCACCUAGGCGACGAUCAGUAGCUGGUCUGAGAGGACGAUCAGCCACACUGGGACUGAGACACGGCCCAGACUCCUACGGGAGGCAGCAGUGGGGAAUUUUCCGCAAUGGGCGAAAGCCUGACGGAGCAAUACCGCGUGAGGGAGGAAGGCUCUUGGGUUGUAAACCUCUUUUCUCAGGAAGAAAAAAGACGGUACCUGAGGAAUAAGCAUCGGCUAACUCCGUGCCAGCAGCCGCGGUAAUACGGAGGAUGCAAGCGUUAUCCGGAAUGAUUGGGCGUAAAGCGUCCGCAGGUGGCUAUGUGUGUCUGCUGUUAAAGAGUGAGGCUCAACCUCAUAAAAGCAGUGGAAACUACAUAGCUAGAGUGCGUUCGGGGCAGAGGGAAUUCCUGGUGUAGCGGUGAAAUGCGUAGAGAUCAGGAAGAACACCGGUGGCGAAA
Molecule: ribosomal RNA, 523 nt
Filed under: Microchaete sp. LCRSM-2426b
Lineage: Bacteria; Bacillati; Cyanobacteriota; Cyanophyceae; Nostocales; Rivulariaceae
Description: bacterial SSU rRNA
Rfam family: Bacterial small subunit ribosomal RNA
Source: RNAcentral